GCAGCUGCCUGGCUUCUGGGGUUUUGCUCUGGCUGUGAGAAGUUGAAAAGAUUCAACUACAGGAGUGUAACGGAGCUUCGGAGUGGAAAUCAACGCUAAAAGUAGUUGCUUUCUUCCAAGGAUGAUACACUUUGUGCCAUGGUGGUGAAUUACCUGCAAAGUAUUAAUGCGGCUGCUGAACUGGAAAACUCAUUCACUGAAUCCUGUGAGGAGCAUUAUCUUGUGUGAACGAGAACCUUUUGUACAAAGAGAUCUCCUUGUACCUCCUCAGCACGUGCUAAUAAACUCACAAAUGAAGACAUAAAAGCAAGUCUUGAGAGAAGCCAAACAACUGAAAUAAGACAGCCAAUUAAUUUGAAAGUGCAUUUAUAGUUAAUGAAGUGUUCCUGAGUGCUUGAGUGCUGACAAGGAAUCUGUCGGGAAGUGUUUCUUGCUCCAAGGUAUCUAUUUGCAACAGAAGCCCUGAAUAGCAGCAUCUGUUGAAGAGCUUCUCAGUGCAUCCUCCCAGUUCAACUGUAUGUUGUUUGUAGUGUGUUUUUUUGUCCAGGCUACAGUAAGUAUAACUGUACCACAUUUCCCAAGGUUACUUAUAAAAUAUCAAGUAAAACAACAUUAAAAAAACGUUGGAGAAGGGGAAAUUACAUUUAUUUCACAUAUUUGUUCUUCACAAAUCCUUGUUGGAUAUUACUCAUCUUCAGUGUCAUCUUCUGCUUUCUUACAGGCUAUUUAUUUCAGUAUUUCUCUGCAUACUGAAUAAUAAGUAAAUCCCUGGAUCCUCCCUUACUUGUUUCCUAGGAGUCUCACCUAUCCUGAACUUCUGCUCCC
Long non-coding RNA from Cygnus olor (mute swan), 825 nucleotides. RefSeq lists it as uncharacterized. Lineage: Eukaryota; Metazoa; Chordata; Aves; Anseriformes; Anatidae. The transcript is spliced from 3 exons. The record is from RefSeq and is a predicted model, not a curated record.